RNAcentral lists this ribosomal RNA (255 nucleotides) under uncultured bacterium. Its description in RNAcentral is "partial 16S ribosomal RNA". It matches the Rfam family "Bacterial small subunit ribosomal RNA", at positions 524 to 776 of the family's 1533-position model. The record is from RNAcentral.
CACGUAGGGUGCGAGCGUUGUCCGGAAUUAUUGGGCGUAAAGAGCUCGUAGGCGGUGUGUCGCGUCGGCCGUGAAAACCUGCAGCUUAACUGUGGGCUUGCGGUCGAUACGGGCAUCACUGGAGUUCGGCAGGGGAGACUGGAAUUCCUGGUGUAGCGGUGAAAUGCGCAGAUAUCAGGAGGAACACCGGUGGCGAAGGCGGGUCUCUGGGCCGAUACUGACGCUGAGUGCGCGAAAGCCAGGGGAGCAAACGGG